UUACAUUUGAGUGAGUGGCGAACUGGUGAGUAACACGUGGGAAACCUGCCCAGAAGCGGGGGAUAACACCUGGAAACAGAUGCUAAUACCGCAUAACAACUUGGACCGCAUGGUCCGAGUUGAAAGAUGGCUUCGCUAUCACUUUUGGAUGGUCCCGCGGCGUAUUAGCUAGAUGGUGGGUAACGGCUCACCAUGGCAAUGAUACGUAGCCGACCUGAGAGGGUAAUCGGCCACAUUGGGACUGAGACACGGCCCAAACUCCUACGGGAGGCAGCAGUAGGGAAUCUUCCACAAUGGACGAAAGUCUGAUGGAGCAACGCCGCGUGAG
Molecule: ribosomal RNA, 328 nt
Filed under: Lactiplantibacillus plantarum
Lineage: Bacteria; Bacillati; Bacillota; Bacilli; Lactobacillales; Lactobacillaceae
Description: bacterial SSU rRNA
Rfam family: Bacterial small subunit ribosomal RNA
Source: RNAcentral